UUUUUUUCGCCAUUGUAGAGGGCCAUCAAUAGCUUGGUGAUCUCUGCGUUGUCUUUUCCCCAGUUCCUCAACUUAUGGUUCUUUCCCAAAUAUGAUAUUGACAUUCUCAACUUGUCUUAAGACAUCUGUUCCUGAUAUUGUCAAAGGAGAAUUUCUAUUUUCCACACUUCCAUCAAAAUGAAUGCGGGCUAAUCUAAAUUUGUGUCUUGCAUUUAACCAACGUCGAUGAUUCAUGAAACAAAAUUUACCCU
This 251-nucleotide long non-coding RNA is filed under the name Phaseolus vulgaris (common bean). Its description in RNAcentral is "long non-coding RNA (PVUL_LNC002955)". The record is from RNAcentral. Lineage: Eukaryota; Viridiplantae; Streptophyta; Magnoliopsida; Fabales; Fabaceae.